RNAcentral lists this ribosomal RNA (253 nucleotides) under uncultured bacterium. RNAcentral describes it as "partial 16S ribosomal RNA". It matches the Rfam family "Bacterial small subunit ribosomal RNA", at positions 524 to 776 of the family's 1533-position model. The record is from RNAcentral.
UACGAAGGGGGCUAGCGUUGUUCGGAAUCACUGGGCGUAAAGCGCACGUAGGCGGCUUGUUAAGUCGGGGGUGAAAUCCUGAGGCUCAACCUCAGAACUGCCUCCGAUACUGGCAAUCUCGAGUUCGGAAGAGGUUGGUGGAACAGCUAGUGUAGAGGUGAAAUUCGUAGAUAUUCGGAAGAACACCAGUGGCGAAGGCGGCUCACUGGACCGGCAUUGACGCUGAGGUGCGAAAGCGUGGGGAGCAAACAGG